ACCUGACUGCUAUCGGAUUGAUACUAAGCCAUGCGAGUCAUUGUAGCAAUACAAGGCAGACGGCUCAGUAACACGUAGUCAAUCUAACCUAUGGACGGGGAUAACCUCGGGAAACUGAGAAUAAUAUCCGAUAGGCCACUAUGCCUGGAAUGGUUUGUGGCCCAAAUGAUUUAUCGCCGUAGGAUGGGACUGCGGUCUAUCAGCUUGUUGGUGAGGUAAUGGCCCACCAAGGCUAUAACAGAUACGGGCUCUGAGAGGAGAGGCCCGGAGAUGGGUACUGAGACACGGACCCAGGCCCUAUGGGGCGCAGCAGGCGAGAAAACUUUGCAAUGUGCGAAAGCACGACAAGGUUAAUCCGAGUGUUUUCUGCUAAAGAAAUCUUUUACCGGUCUUAAAACCACCGGCGAAUAAGGGGUGGGCAAGUUCUGGUGUCAGCCGCCGCGGUAAAACCAGCACCUCAAGUGGUCAGGAGGAUUAUUGGGCCUAAAGCAUCCGUAGCCUGCCGUGUAAGUUUUCGGUUAAAUCUAUGCGCUCAACGCAUAGGCUGCCGGAAAUACUGCACGGCUAGGGAGUGGGAGAGGUAGACGGUACUCGGUAGGAAGGGGUAAAAUCCUCUGAUCUAUCGAUGACCCCCUGUGGCGAAGGCGGUCUACUAGAACACGUCCGACGGUGAGGGAUGAAAGCUGGGGGAGCAAACCGGAUUAGAUACCCGGGUAGUCCCAGCUGUAAACAAUGCAAACUCAGUGAUGCAUUGGCGUAAGAGCCAGUGCAGUGCCGCAGGGAAGCCGUUAAGUUUGCCGCCUGGGAAGUACGUACGCAAGUAUGAAACUUAAAGGAAUUGGCGGGGGAGCACCACAAGGGGUGAAGCCUGCGGUUC
RNAcentral lists this ribosomal RNA (877 nucleotides) under uncultured Nitrososphaerota archaeon. RNAcentral describes it as "bacterial SSU rRNA". It matches the Rfam family "Archaeal small subunit ribosomal RNA", at positions 21 to 903 of the family's 1478-position model. The record is from RNAcentral. Lineage: Archaea; Thermoproteati; Nitrososphaerota.